Non-coding RNA from Triticum aestivum (bread wheat), 126 nucleotides. The record is from Rfam. Lineage: Eukaryota; Viridiplantae; Streptophyta; Magnoliopsida; Poales; Poaceae.
UAAAUACUCCCUUCGUCCGGAAAUAUUUGUCAUUGAAAUAGAUGUAUCUAGAUGUAUUUUAGUUGUAGAAUACAUCCAUUUUUAUUCAUUUUGAUGACAACUAAUUCUGAACGGAGGGGAUACUUG